RNAcentral lists this ribosomal RNA (397 nucleotides) under Mataza sp. RNAcentral describes it as "partial small subunit ribosomal RNA". It matches the Rfam family "Eukaryotic small subunit ribosomal RNA", at positions 582 to 975 of the family's 1831-position model. The record is from RNAcentral. Lineage: Eukaryota; Cercozoa; Thecofilosea.
AUUCCAGCUCCAAUAGCAUAUAUUAAAGUUGUUGCAGUUAAAAAGCUCGUAGUUGGAUUUCUGGCAUGAUGCGCCUGGCCCGCCUCAAUUAUGAGCGUGUGUGUCAGCGCGCGUCUGCCAUCCAUUUGCAGAAUGUAUCUACCCUUCAUUGGGCCGGAUACGUGAUGUAAAUCUUUUACUUUGAAAAAAUUAGAGUGUUUAAAGCAGGCAUUUGCUAUGAAUACAUUAGCAUGGAAUAAUAAUCUAGGACUUCGGUUCUAUUUUGUUGGUUUCUAGAUCUGGAGUAAUGAUUGAUAGGGAUAGUUGGGGGUGCUAGUAUUAAGGGGCCAGAGGUGAAAUUCUUGGAUUCUCUUAAGACUAACUUAUGCGAAAGCAUUCACCAAGGAUGUCUUCAUUA